GAUGAACGCUAGCGACAGGCCUAACACAUGCAAGUCGAGGGGCAGCACGAAGUAAGCUUGCUUACUUUGGUGGCGACCGGCGCACGGGUGCGUAACAGGUGUGCAAUCUGUCCAUAAUCGGGGAAUAGCCCAGCGAAAGUUGGAUUAAUGCUCCAUGUGAGCAGGGGAGGCAUCUCCUUUGUUUGAAACGUAAGGAUUAUGGGUGAGCACGCUUCUGAUUAGGUAGUUGGUGAGGUAACGGCUCACCAAGCCGACGAUCAGUAGGGGUUCUGAGAGGAAGGUCCCCCCACAUUGGAACUGAGACACGGUCCAAACUCCUACGGGAGGCAGCAGUGAGGAAUAUUGGUCAAUGGACGAAAGUCUGAACCAGCCGAGUCGCGUGAAGGAUGAAGGUUCUAUGGAUUGUAAACUUCUUUUGUCUGAGGGUAAAAAAGCGGACGUGUCCGUUCUUGCAAGUAUCAGACGAAUAAGCAUCGGCUAACUCCGUGCCAG
Molecule: ribosomal RNA, 492 nt
Filed under: uncultured bacterium
Lineage: Bacteria
Description: bacterial SSU rRNA
Rfam family: Bacterial small subunit ribosomal RNA
Source: RNAcentral